Molecule: long non-coding RNA, 479 nt
Filed under: Heterocephalus glaber (naked mole-rat)
Lineage: Eukaryota; Metazoa; Chordata; Mammalia; Rodentia; Bathyergidae
Description: lncRNA (ENSHGLG00100043714.1)
Source: RNAcentral
GAGGCGCAUGCGCGCCUGGCCGUGACGCGCCGGUCUGGCUGCCCAGAGCGCGGGGCUCAGGAGCGGCCGGUAGCGCGACGCUCGCGCGCAGCAGGGACCGCGCCGGCCGGGCGUGAGCACCGAGGGCCGACCACCGCCUCUGCCCUGCGCCAGGCCGUGACCGGGCCAGAGCCAUGGACUGCAGCCGGGCGCGGGCGCUCGUGCACCGCUUCGUGCUGCACAAGGGGGACACCUUUCCCACCGCUGUGGGUCACACCCUGGGGCCAGGAGGCCACGAGCAUGGAUGGAGCAGCGGCGGCCCCUGCCACCUUCCACUCCCCUGGCUUGGCGUGUCGCCCCUCCUGAGAGGCCAGUCCUGCAGCUGCGCUCUGGUGGCCCUGCUGCUCUUCCUGCUGCUCUUCCUGCUGCCCACCUCCCUUCCUCCCGCCUGCCGAGCCUCUGCCCCGCCCCAGGGGCCCUCCCUCCCUCCCUCCCUCUCC